Molecule: ribosomal RNA, 231 nt
Filed under: uncultured bacterium
Lineage: Bacteria
Description: partial 16S ribosomal RNA
Rfam family: Bacterial small subunit ribosomal RNA
Source: RNAcentral
CGGGUGAGUAACGCGUGGAUAACCUGCCUCACACUGGGGGAUAACAGUUAGAAAUGACUGCUAAUACCGCAUAAGCGCACAGUACCGCAUGGUACAGUGUGAAAAACUCCGGUGGUGUGAGAUGGAUCCGCGUCUGAUUAGCCAGUUGGCGGGGUAACGGCCCACCAAAGCGACGAUCAGUAGCCGACCUGGGAGGGUGACCGGCCACAUUGGGACUGAGACACGGCCCAA